GGUUAAGUUAAUAAGGGCGCAUGGUGGAUGCCUUGGCACUAGGAGCCGAUGAAGGACGUGACUAACUGCGAUAUGCUUCGGGGAGUUGUAAGUAAACUUUGAGCCGGAGAUUUCCGAAUGGGGAAACCCAGCGGAUGUAACAAUCCGUUAUCACUAAGUGAAUACAUAGCUUAGUAGAAGGUAGACGUGGGGAACUGAAACAUCUAAGUACCCACAGGAAGAGAAAGAAAAAUCGAUUCCCUCAGUAGCGGCGAGCGAACGGGGAAGAGCCCAAACCGAGAAGCUUGCUUUUCGGGGUUGUAGGACUGAACAUCUGAGUUACCAAGAGACGAAGUAAUUGAAUGAUUUGGGAAAAUCAGCCAGAGAAGGUGAAAGCCCUGUAAAUGAAACUUCGUUUCCUCAGUUCAGGAUCCUGAGUACGGCGGAACACGUGAAACUCCGUCGGAAUCCGGGAGGACCAUCUCCCAAGGCUAAAUACUCCCUAGUGACCGAUAGUGAACCAGUACCGUGAGGGAAAGGUGAAAAGCACCCCGGAAGGGGAGUGAAACAGUUCCUGAAACCAUGUGCCUACAAGUAGUUAGAGCCCGUUAAUGGGUGAUAGCGUGCCUUUUGUAGAAUGAACCGGCGAGUUAUGUUAGCAUGCGAGGUUAAGGCGGAAAGGCCGGAGCCGUAGCGAAAGCGAGUCUGAAUAGGGCGUCAGAGUAUGUUGAUGUAAACCCGAAACCAAGUGACCUACCCAUGUCCAGGUUGAAGGUGCGGUAAAACGCACUGGAGGACCGAACCCGUGUAUGUUGAAAAAUGCUGGGAUGAGGUGUGGGUAGCGGUGAAAUUCCAAACGAACUUGGAGAUAGCUGGUUCUCUCCGAAAUAGCUUUAGGGCUAGCCUCGGAAGAAGGAUAGUGGAGGUAGAGCACUGUUUGGACUAGGGGCCCAUCAUGGGUUACUGAAUUCAGAUAAACUCCGAAUGCCACAUAUCUAUAUCCGGGAGUCAGACUGCGAGUGAUAAGAUCCGUAGUCGAAAGGGAAACAGCCCAGACCACCAAUUAAGGUCCCUAAAUAUGUGUUAAGUGGAAAAGGAUGUGGAAUUGCACAGACAACUAGGAUGUUGGCUCAGAAGCAGCCACCAUUUAAAGAGUGCGUAAUAGCUCACUAGUCGAGUGGUCCUGCGCCGAAAAUGUAACGGGGCUAAACACAUUACCGAAAUUGUGGAUGCAUCCGUAAGGAUGCGUGGUAGGAGAGCGUUCUAAGGGCGAUGAAGCUAGACUGUAAGGACUGGUGGAGCGCUUAGAAGUGAGAAUGCCGGUAUGAGUAGCGAAAGAUAGGUGAGAAUCCUAUCCACCGUAUGACUAAGGUUUCCUGGGGAAGGCUCGUCCACCCAGGGUUAGUCGGGACCUAAGCCGAGGCCGAGAGGCGUAGGCGAUGGAUAACAGGUUGAGAUUCCUGUACUAGUUAAAUUUGUUUGAACAAUGGAGGGACGCAGGAGGCUAGAGAAGCGCACUGAUGGAUAUGUGCGUCCAAGCAAUAAGUCUAUUGAUGAGUCAAAUGCUUAUCGAUAUCANNNNNNNNNNNNNNNNNNNNNNNNNNNNNNNNNNNNNNNNNNNNNNNNNNNNNNNNNNNNNNNNNNNNNNNNNNNNNNNNNNNNNNNNNNNNNNNGUCAGGACAAGUUGUGAUGGGGAGCGAAAUUAAGUAGCGAAGUAAUUGAUGUCACACUGCCGAGAAAAGCUUCUAGUAAGAAUUUAAUUACCCGUACCGCAAACCGACACAGGUAGUCGAGGAGAGUAUCCUCAGGUGAGCGAGAGAACUCUCGUUAAGGAACUCGGCAAAAUGACCCCGUAACUUCGGGAGAAGGGGUGCUGAGCGCAAGCUCAGCCGCAGUGAAUAGGCCCAGGCGACUGUUUAUCAAAAACACAGGUUUCUGCAAAAUCGUAAGAUGAAGUAUAGGGGCUGACGCCUGCCCGGUGCUGGAAGGUUAAGAGGAUGGGUUAGCGUAAGCGAAGCUCAGAAUUGAAGCCCCAGUAAACGGCGGCCGUAACUAUAACGGUCCUAAGGUAGCGAAAUUCCUUGUCGGGUAAGUUCCGACCCGCACGAAAGGCGUAACGAUCUGGGCACUGUCUCAACGAGAGACUCGGUGAAAUUAUAAUACCCGUGAAGAUGCGGGUUACCCGCGACAGGACGGAAAGACCCCAUGGAGCUUUACUGUAGCUUGAUAUUGGGUGUUUGUACAACUUGUACAGGAUAGGUAGGAGCCAUUGAAGUCGGGACGCUAGUCUCGACUGAGGCGUUGGUGGGAUACUACCCUCGUUGUAUGAACACUCUAACCCGCGCCGGCAAACACGGCGGGAGACAGUGUCAGGUAGGCAGUUUGACUGGGGCGGUCGCCUCCUAAAAGGUAACGGAGGCGCCCAAAGGUUCCCUCAGAAUGGUUGGAAAUCAUUCGUAGAGUGUAAAGGCAUAAGGGAGCUUGACUGCGAGACUUACAAGUCGAGCAGGGACGAAAGUCGGGCUUAGUGAUCCGGUGGUUCCGCAUGGAAGGGCCAUCGCUCAACGGAUAAAAGCUACCCUGGGGAUAACAGGCUUAUCUCCCCCAAGAGUCCACAUCGACGGGGAGGUUUGGCACCUCGAUGUCGGCUCAUCGCAUCCUGGGGCUGUAGUCGGUCCCAAGGGUUGGGCUGUUCGCCCAUUAAAGCGGUACGCGAGCUGGGUUCAGAACGUCGUGAGACAGUUCGGUCCCUAUCCGUCGCGGGCGUAGGAAAUUUGAGAGGAUCUGUCCUUAGUACGAGAGGACCGGGAUGGACAUACCGCUGGUGUACCAGUUGUUCUGCCAAGAGCAUCGCUGGGUAGCUACGUAUGGAUGAGAUAAACGCUGAAAGCAUCUAAGCGCGAAACUCACCUCGAGAUAAGAUUUCCCAUUCCUAUAUGGAAGUAAGACCCCUGAAAGAUGAUCAGGUAGAUAGGAUGGAAGUGGAAGCACGGUGACGUGUGAAGCGGACCAUUACUAAUCGGUCGAGGACUUAACCAA
Molecule: ribosomal RNA, 3018 nt
Filed under: Ligilactobacillus ubinensis
Lineage: Bacteria; Bacillati; Bacillota; Bacilli; Lactobacillales; Lactobacillaceae
Description: Bacterial large subunit ribosomal RNA
Rfam family: Bacterial large subunit ribosomal RNA
Source: Rfam by way of RNAcentral